CACGCUGCCAAUAUCACCACAACUACAACCAACAUGGUGCCGACAGGUUGGAUUGAGCGAGAAGCGACAUCCAACCCCACAACCCAAAGUACUACUUGUCGUAGCCGCCCUUGCGAAGACACGGAGAUGUGUUUUCCCACCUACACGUCACCUUUCUACACCUGCCAUCCGGUCGUUGCAGAAUGCCAAGCGCCAUCACGAACGGACGGCGUCUACAGUGAUGCGACACUACUCCAGGGUCAAAGGACACAGUUCACGUG
Molecule: long non-coding RNA, 260 nt
Organism: Pomacea canaliculata
Lineage: Eukaryota; Metazoa; Mollusca; Gastropoda; Architaenioglossa; Ampullariidae
Exons: 3
Source: RefSeq, a predicted model, not a curated record